RNAcentral lists this ribosomal RNA (251 nucleotides) under Bacillus sp. cl25. Its description in RNAcentral is "16S rRNA. Bacterial SSU". It matches the Rfam family "Bacterial small subunit ribosomal RNA", at positions 1 to 238 of the family's 1533-position model. Lineage: Bacteria; Bacillati; Bacillota; Bacilli; Caryophanales; Bacillaceae. The record is from RNAcentral.
CUUUAUUGGAGAGUUUGAUCCUGGCUCAGGAUGAACGCUGGCGGCGUGCCUAAUACAUGCAAGUCGAGCGAAUGGAUUAAGAGCUUGCUCUUAUGAAGUUAGCGGCGGACGGGUGAGUAACACGUGGGUAACCUGCCCAUAAGACUGGGAUAACUCCGGGAAACCGGGGCUAAUACCGGAUAACAUUUUGAACCGCAUGGUUCGAAAUUGAAAGGCGGCUUCGGCUGUCACUUAUGGAUGGACCCGCGUCG